AAGUCGUGACAAGGUUUCCGUAGGUGAACCUGCGGAAGGAUCAUUACCAAAUCCAAAUUUAUCCAACCCCUUGUGAACUAUUGUUUAGUCUUGUCUUUGGGAAAGAAUAUUAUUGGAAAGCAAAACUUUUUUGUUUUUCAAUGAUAUUUUUUCCCAAAAGAAUCCGGCUUGUCUGGAUUCUUUAAAACCCUUUAUUAAACCACUUAUUUAUUGUUGGAAUUUUUCUUUUAUAAUUUAUAAAUAAAAGACAACUUUUAACGGUGGAUCUCUUGGCUCGUG
Molecule: unclassified non-coding RNA, 279 nt
Filed under: fungal sp.
Lineage: Eukaryota; Fungi
Description: partial internal transcribed spacer region
Rfam family: Eukaryotic small subunit ribosomal RNA (bases 1-46)
Source: RNAcentral